RNAcentral lists this ribosomal RNA (277 nucleotides) under uncultured eukaryote. RNAcentral describes it as "partial 18S ribosomal RNA". It matches the Rfam family "Eukaryotic small subunit ribosomal RNA", at positions 21 to 296 of the family's 1831-position model. The record is from RNAcentral.
UAGUCAUAUGCUUGUCUCAAAGAUUAAGCCAUGCAUGUCUAAGUAUAAACAAUUCUAUACUGUGUGAAACUGCGAAUGGCUCAUUAAAUCAGUUAUAGUUUAUUUGAUAAUUUCUUUCUACAUGGAUAACCGUGGUAAUUCUAGAGCUAAUACAUGCAUAUAAAAACCCGACUUUGGAAGGGUUGUAUUUAUUAGAUAAAAACCAAUGUGGGCAACCACUCUUUUGGUGAUUCAUAAUAACUUGUCGAAUCGUAUGGCCUUGAGCCGACGAUGUAUC